Non-coding RNA from Erythranthe guttata (spotted monkey flower), 74 nucleotides. Lineage: Eukaryota; Viridiplantae; Streptophyta; Magnoliopsida; Lamiales; Phrymaceae. The record is from Rfam.
GUUGAUGUAGCCAAGUGGAUCAAGGCAAUGGAUUGCCAAUCCACCACGAGCGGGUUCAAUUCCCGUCGUUCGCC